Molecule: ribosomal RNA, 460 nt
Filed under: uncultured bacterium
Lineage: Bacteria
Description: partial 16S ribosomal RNA
Rfam family: Bacterial small subunit ribosomal RNA
Source: RNAcentral
CCUACGGGGGGCAGCAGUGAGGAAUAUUGGUCAAUGGGCUUACGCCUGAACCAGCCAAGUCGCGUGAGGGAAGACUGCCCUAUGGGUUGUAAACCUCUUUUGUCAGGGAGCAACGCCGGCUACGUGUAGCCGGACUGAGAGUACCUGAAGAAAAAGCAUCGGCUAACUCCGUGCCAGCAGCCGCGGUAAUACGGGGGAUGCGAGCGUUAUCCGGAUUUAUUGGGUUUAAAGGGUGCGUAGGCGGAAUGCGAAGGCAGCGGUAAAAUCGCGGGGCUCAACCUCGCUCCGCCGUUGAGACCGGCGUUCGUGAGUGGGCGAGAAGUAUGCGGAAUGCGUGGUGUAGCGGUGAAAUGCAUAGAGAUCACGCAGAACUCCGAUUGCGAAGGCAACAUACCGGCGCCCAACUGACGCUGAAGCACGAAAGCGUGGGUAUCGAACAGGAUUAGAUACCCCUGUAGUC